UAUAGACAUCGUGAAUCAUCGAAUCUUUGAACGCACUUUGCACCUUGCGGCUUUUGUCACAAGGUAUGCUUGUUUGAGUAUCCGAAACUACCUCACCUCCCCUUCGGGGCGAAGUGGACUUGAGAUUCGAUAACUGCAGUUAAAUGUGGGAGUCGUUUCUUUAAAGGUGGUGGUCGCUUGUGGGAGGUCUCCGUCUGGAGCCUGACAGACUAUUGGGAUAACAUCCUGACGAUCGUCUGUCGGUUCAUUAUAUUAGACGUUGGCUGACCUUGGCCAACAUUGAGAGCAGCCUUAUCAAAUGGGACAUGCUUUCACGUGGACUAAUGUAACAGUUAGGAAACAGUCAUUAUGGAUCUCAAAUCAAGUAAGGAUACCCGCUGAACUUAAGCAUAUCAAUAAGCGGAGG
RNAcentral lists this ribosomal RNA (406 nucleotides) under uncultured Diversisporales. RNAcentral's name for it is "eukaryotic LSU rRNA". The stretch from base 351 to 406 matches the Rfam family "Eukaryotic large subunit ribosomal RNA", at positions 1 to 56 of the family's 3401-position model. The record is from RNAcentral. Lineage: Eukaryota; Fungi; Glomeromycota; Glomeromycetes; Diversisporales.